CCUACGGGUGGCAGCAGUGAGGAAUAUUGGUCAAUGGACGAGAGUCUGAACCAGCCAAGUAGCGUGAAGGAUGACUGCCCUAUGGGUUGUAAACUUCUUUUAUAUGGGACUAAAAUGUUCCACGUGUGGGAUUUUGUAUGUACCAUAUGAAUAAGGAUCGGCUAACUCCGUGCCAGCAGCCGCGGUAAUACGGAGGAUCCGAGCGUUAUCCGGAUUUAUUGGGUUUAAAGGGAGCGUAGGUGGAUUGUUAAGUCAGUUGUGAAAGUUUGCGGCUCAACCGUAAAAUUGCAGUUGAAACUGGCAGUCUUGAGUACAGUAGAGGUGGGCGGAAUUCGUGGUGUAGCGGUGAAAUGCUGAGAUAUCACGAAGAACUCCGAUUGCGAAGGCAGUUCACUGGACUGCAACUGACACUGAGGCUCGAAAGUGUGGGUAUCAAACAGGAUUAGAGACCCGUGUAGUC
This 460-nucleotide ribosomal RNA is filed under the name uncultured bacterium. Its description in RNAcentral is "partial 16S ribosomal RNA". It matches the Rfam family "Bacterial small subunit ribosomal RNA", at positions 338 to 795 of the family's 1533-position model. The record is from RNAcentral.